AUAGUUCCGUCUUGCUGGAUUAAUAGAGAGCAAAAUGACUGUAUUUGGCCAUGUCAAAUCUCAAUAUACCUUGGACAAAUUAAUAACAAAAGCAAUGAUUGCACCAGAGACUGCUACAUGGGACAUUUGCAAAAUAAAGAGAAUUUUCGGCUCGGCAGAUACUUGGGAACGAGCCCAGGAGAAGUUAGUGGAUGCAGCCGAAACAUCAACUAUCACUGAUUCUGAAGAUUUCUCUGAAAACGAAUGGAGAUUGCGCAGGAAGAAACAUAGGAGAGAUAACGCACGCAAAACUUAUAAUAUAUCUUCAGAUGAAGAUAAGGAAAAUAUAUCUGGCCAAAAAGAAUUAAAAGAUGACAGCCACCAUGCGAAGAAGAGAAAAAGCAAUAACAUUAAUAAUCUGUCUCAAAUACCAUUACUACCCAAGCCACCUUCAUAUUUAUUGCAACCACCUAUUUCAAAUUGUUCACCCAAAGCAUCAACAUCAAAAAUAAACGAAGCGCAAACCAUAAGUGACACAAUUCUGUCUCAUACAUUAGACGAGACUAUUCAUACAUCUCCCAAAGAAGGAAUACUUUCUGAGAAUAUCACUCAUGAUCCAUCUGUCAGUGAGUUCAAGAACUUUAUGGUUAAAAGCAUGGCAAUACUAUUAAGGAGAACACAAACUAUAGAAAAUAGAUUACAAAUAUUUGAAAGUCGACAAAAACAAGCAGACAAAAAUAAUAACGAAGAGGAAGUUGCCAUUCCCAUUUGUACUGAAGAACAAUUAUUGGAGUUUGAAACACAAUUACAAAAUGCCGUAUUCUUUAAGAAAAUGAGUUUCUCUUUAAAAUAUGUUGGUGGAGACAAAGUAAGCUCAGCAACAAAUGGAGUUUUUAGCAAGUUAAUUGCUGACGCACUUGCUACAAAAUACAGUUGGCAAGGAAAAAAAGGAAAAAAGCCUUUACUGCACUACGGACAUCUAAAUUAAUUAUAAAAACUGUACAUAUGAUAUGUCCGACACAAUACAGUGACGCGCAAAUAAUAGAAGCUGCUUCAACAUGGCUUGCUCAAGCAACAACGCGGUUGAAACGUGCUGAGGCGAAACAUUCACGACAACCAAUUGAAAAUGAUUUCGAACAUUCGCGAGAUGGAAGCGAUGGUGAUAGGGAGAUUCAUAACUAAAUUUUACUAUUUGUUUAAAAUCUAGCAUAAUGUGAUACCGUUAUGUAAUACGCUUCCAUAUUUUUUUAAACAUUAUAUAAUAUUUGUUUUGUUUCUAACGUCAUAUAAUUAUAUGAUUGUUUUUAUUUUACACGUUAUAUAAUAUAAUUGUUUUUAUUUUACACAUUAUACAGAGUGUCCCAAAGUUUGCGACUUAAAAUACUAUAGUGAGGAAGUGCUUAAAAAAUUAAAUAAAAAGUUUAUUUGUAAAUUUUUAUUUUAAACAAUAAAUUUUAAGAUAUAAAAAUUGUAA
Monomorium pharaonis (pharaoh ant) is the source of this 1453-nucleotide RNA transcript. RefSeq lists it as uncharacterized. Lineage: Eukaryota; Metazoa; Arthropoda; Insecta; Hymenoptera; Formicidae. The transcript has 6 exons. The record is from RefSeq and is a predicted model, not a curated record.